This is a long non-coding RNA of Zonotrichia leucophrys gambelii, 691 nucleotides long. RefSeq lists it as uncharacterized. The transcript is spliced from 4 exons. NCBI's taxonomy places the organism in Eukaryota, Metazoa, Chordata, Aves, Passeriformes, Passerellidae. The record is from RefSeq and is a predicted model, not a curated record.
AACUGGCUGAGUGCUGCCAGCUGCUUUGCCAGGUUUGCCAUGUUUUAUCCCUUGGGCAGCCAGGUCAUCACUCCCAGGUGCCUGCAUCCCUCGAGAAUCUGUAAUACAUUGCAUGCACAAGUCCUGCUGCAAAUGCAAGCUUAUCCUUCACCACCUGUCCUGAAAACUGGUCUGAGAGGCCAAGCUCUUGGUCUGACCCUUUUCCUCUUUCAUUCAGCUCCAGCUCAUGAAAUCUCCAUACCAUGUGGCAGGCCUCUUUGUUAGACCAGCAAGCUGAAGCGAAAUCACUACCUUGGAAAUGUCUGAUGCCAGGCAGGCAACUGAUCCCUCCUGUUCCUGCCAGAGGAGAUGGCUCCUGGCUGGAUGACGUGUGGGUGAGCCCAGUGACAAUUCAAGGAAGGAUGAUAACACAAAGCAGGCAGAUAAGGCAGCACAUUUGCUCCCUUCCUGCGCUGGAGAGCAGAGCUCAUCAGAGCAAUGACGUGAGCAUACUCAGCAGUCCCAUGGGGUUUUCAGUGCACAAGCUGUAGGAGCUCUUUUCUGAGGAAAAAAACUUCCUGGUAGUUCAUUUGUGUCAAAAAAUUCUUCUGGCCUGCACUUGAAGAUACAGCAUGCAGUAAAAACCAGUGAGAAAUGGCUACUUCAGGAGCAGAAUUUCACAACCUCGCGCUCUUCUUUGUUAAGCACAAUU